RNAcentral lists this transfer RNA (74 nucleotides) under Cucumis melo (muskmelon). It matches the Rfam family "tRNA". From Rfam's summary of the family: Transfer RNA (tRNA) molecules are approximately 80 nucleotides in length. Their secondary structure includes four short double-helical elements and three loops (D, anti-codon, and T loops). Further hydrogen bonds mediate the characteristic L-shaped molecular structure. tRNAs have two regions of fundamental functional importance: the anti-codon, which is responsible for specific mRNA codon recognition, and the 3' end, to which the tRNAs corresponding amino acid is attached (by aminoacyl-tRNA synthetases). tRNAs cope with the degeneracy of the genetic code in two manners: having more than one tRNA (with a specific anti-codon) for a particular amino acid; and 'wobble' base-pairing, i.e. permitting non-standard base-pairing at the 3rd anti-codon position. Lineage: Eukaryota; Viridiplantae; Streptophyta; Magnoliopsida; Cucurbitales; Cucurbitaceae. RNAcentral also lists the same sequence under 1 other name. The record is from Rfam by way of RNAcentral.
GCAGAUGUAACCAUGUGGAUCAAGGUAGUGGAUUGUGAAUCCACCACAUAUGGGUUCAAUCCCCAUUGUUCACC